GAGAAAGAGAUGGGGACUUAAAAGAAGCAGGAAGGUCCAGCAGGUCAAGAAGCCCAGGUGCCGUUUCCCUGUUACUGGCUGAAGCCCUGUGACUCCCAGGCCCGCCCCCCACCGCAGUUGAUGUUCGCAAUAAAAGGAUCUUUUCUCUCU
Aquila chrysaetos chrysaetos is the source of this 150-nucleotide long non-coding RNA. RefSeq lists it as uncharacterized. The record is from RefSeq and is a predicted model, not a curated record. Lineage: Eukaryota; Metazoa; Chordata; Aves; Accipitriformes; Accipitridae. The transcript is spliced from 2 exons.